UGCCAGCCGCCGCGGUAAUACGUAAGUCGCAAGCGUUAUCCGGAAUUAUUGGGCGUAAAGCGUCCGUAGGCGGUUUUUUAAGUCUGUGGUUAAAUCCCAGGGCUCAACCCUGGAAUCGUCAUAGAAACGUUUAUACUUGAGUGCGAAAUAGGACAAUGGAAUUUUACAAGGAGGGGUGAAAUCCGUAGAACUGUAAAGGAACGUCAAAAGCGAAGGCAAUUGUCUGGGUCGUUACUGACGCUAAGGAACGAAAGCGUGGUUAUCAAACAGGAUUAGAUA
This 279-nucleotide ribosomal RNA is filed under the name uncultured bacterium. RNAcentral describes it as "partial 16S ribosomal RNA". It matches the Rfam family "Bacterial small subunit ribosomal RNA", at positions 506 to 784 of the family's 1533-position model. The record is from RNAcentral.